This 70-nucleotide transfer RNA is filed under the name Camelus bactrianus (Bactrian camel). It matches the Rfam family "tRNA". Rfam says of the family: Transfer RNA (tRNA) molecules are approximately 80 nucleotides in length. Their secondary structure includes four short double-helical elements and three loops (D, anti-codon, and T loops). Further hydrogen bonds mediate the characteristic L-shaped molecular structure. tRNAs have two regions of fundamental functional importance: the anti-codon, which is responsible for specific mRNA codon recognition, and the 3' end, to which the tRNAs corresponding amino acid is attached (by aminoacyl-tRNA synthetases). tRNAs cope with the degeneracy of the genetic code in two manners: having more than one tRNA (with a specific anti-codon) for a particular amino acid; and 'wobble' base-pairing, i.e. permitting non-standard base-pairing at the 3rd anti-codon position. RNAcentral also lists the same sequence under 1 other name. Lineage: Eukaryota; Metazoa; Chordata; Mammalia; Artiodactyla; Camelidae. The record is from Rfam by way of RNAcentral.
GGAAAUAGCUCAGUGGUAGAGUGCAUGCUUAGCAUAUACGAAGCCCUGGAUUCAAUCCCCAGUAUUUCCA